RNAcentral lists this ribosomal RNA (301 nucleotides) under uncultured bacterium. RNAcentral's name for it is "partial 16S ribosomal RNA". It matches the Rfam family "Bacterial small subunit ribosomal RNA", at positions 509 to 809 of the family's 1533-position model. The record is from RNAcentral.
CAGCCGCCACGGUAAAACGUAGGGCGCAAGCGUUAUCCGGAAUUAUUGGGCGUAAAGAGCUCGUAGGCGGUUUGUCGCGUCUGCCGUGAAAGUCCGGGGCUCAACCCCGGAUCUGCGGUGGGUACGGGCAGACUAGAGUGAUGUAGGGGAGACUGGAAUUCCUGGUGUAGCGGUGAAAUGCGCAGAUAUCAGGAGGAACACCGAUGGCGAAGGCAGGUCUCUGGGCAUUAACUGACGCUGAGGAGCGAAAGCAUGGGGAGCGAACAGGAUUAGAUACCCCAGUAGUCCCUUCUCUUAUACA